CAAAGAAUAGUUUAAUGCUAGAAUCUUGGCUUUGGGAGCCAGGGGUAGGAGUUGAAGUCUCUUUUCUUUGA
RNAcentral lists this transfer RNA (71 nucleotides) under Zeugopterus punctatus (topknot). RNAcentral's name for it is "tRNA-Pro". It matches the Rfam family "tRNA". Rfam says of the family: Transfer RNA (tRNA) molecules are approximately 80 nucleotides in length. Their secondary structure includes four short double-helical elements and three loops (D, anti-codon, and T loops). The record is from RNAcentral. Lineage: Eukaryota; Metazoa; Chordata; Actinopteri; Pleuronectiformes; Scophthalmidae.